Molecule: ribosomal RNA, 1288 nt
Filed under: Neotrigonia margaritacea
Lineage: Eukaryota; Metazoa; Mollusca; Bivalvia; Trigoniida; Trigoniidae
Description: 16S ribosomal RNA
Rfam family: Bacterial large subunit ribosomal RNA
Source: RNAcentral
AAAUCUCUCUCUUUACUAAACCCUAUCAGUAACGGAAAUCUCCACUUAUUCCAGUACCACAAAAAACUUAAUUAUCUAAUCAUAAACCGCAAGGAAACAUCCUAUUAUAAAAAAGAAGUUCUUAACAACCGUCCCUUUUGCAUCAUGGAAAAGCAAGAAAAUCCCAACAAUUUUGGUUUCCCGAAAAGAUGUGAGCUACCUUUAUUAAAACUACUCAAGUGUGACAUAACUUGCUAAAAGGUAAAGGUAGAAGUGAAAUGCCUCCCGCACAUUUUGACACCUGGUUUUCCUUGAAACGCACUUAAGUGCUAUUCUGUGCAAACUCUAAACAAUUAAUGAACUCCACAGACUACACCUAAAAGGGGAUAAGCUCUUUUAGGAAAGAGAAGUUCUUGAAGCAAAAACCCUUAUAGUAGGCUUAAAAUCAGCCAUCUAACCUCGUUAUAGAAAAAAGCUUUCGACCAAAUUAAUUCAAUUUAAUUACUCUAAAUACUAAAGGAACCUAGCACCUAAUUUACUAAUGUUAAUGAACCGGCUUUUAUUAGUAUAAAAAUCACAAAUUUGGUUGUAUAAUCCAGAAACAACCCAUAAUCAAAAUAAAUAAAUAUAAACCAUACUUAAAGAACUCGGCAAAUCUCUACCCCGCCUGUUUACCAAAAACAUCGCUCCUCGAUACCUUUAUAAUGGGGAGUACUGCCUGCCCAAUGAAAGAAAUAUUUAAAUGGCCGCGUUAUUCUGAGCGUGCUAAGGUAGCGUAAUAAUUAGCCUCUUAAUUGGAGGCCAGUGAAAGGCAAGACGAGGGUAGAACUAUCUCAAGUUAUGUUGGUAAAAAUUUUACUCCCAGUGAAAAUUCUGGGAUAAUAGAGAAAGACGAAAAGACCCCGUGGAGCUUUAUUCUCACCAGCUUAUUUAGUAUUGAAACUUAUAAUUAAGCUAAGAAUUUGGUUGGGGCAACCGCGGAGCAAUUAAAACCUCCGUUAUCUAGCAUCAAUUAUUCAUCCUAAAUCUAGAAAAAAUGUCAGCUACCCCGGGGAUAACAGCGUAAUCCAACUUUAGAGCUCUUAUCGAAAGUUGGGCUUGCGACCUCGAUGUUGGACCAGGGAUACUGUGAGGUGCAGAAGCUUCUCAAGUCAGUCUGUUCGACUGUUAAACCCCUACGUGAUCUGAGUUAAGACCGGCGUGAGCUAGGUCGGUUUCUAUCUUCUCUUCAACUUUAAUUUCAAUAGUACGAAAGGACCUUGAAAUUCAUAUUGCCAAUGAAAAUAAAUAUCAGCACCAAAAUUUUAAC